RNAcentral lists this non-coding RNA (29 nucleotides) under Cricetulus griseus (Chinese hamster). The record is from RNAcentral. Lineage: Eukaryota; Metazoa; Chordata; Mammalia; Rodentia; Cricetidae.
GCAGAUUGGGGAAAAACAAACAACAAACG